UGGGGAAUCUUGGACAAUGGGGGCAACCCUGAUCCAGCCAUGCCGCGUGAGUGAUGAAGGCCUUAGGGUCGUAAAGCUCUUUCGCCUGUGAAGAUAAUGACGGUAGCAGGUAAAGAAACCCCGGCUAACUCCGUGCCAGCAGCCGCGGUAAUACGGAGGGGGUUAGCGUUGUUCGGAAUUACUGGGCGUAAAGCGCGCGUAGGCGGACCAGAAAGUUGGGGGUGAAAUCCCGGGGCUCAACCCCGGAACUGCCUCCAAAACUAUUGGUCUAGAGUUCGAGAGAGGUGAGUGGAAUUCCAAGUGUAGAGGUGAAAUUUCGUAGAUAUUUGGAGGAACACCAGUGGCGAAGGCGGCUCACUGGCUCGAUACUGACGCUGAGGUGCGAAAGUGUGGGGAGCAAACAGGAUUAGAUACCCUGGUAGUCCACACCGUAAACGAUGAAUGCCAGUCGUCGGGUAGCAUGCUAUUCGGUGACACACCUAACGGAUUAAGCAUUCCGCCUGGGGAGUACGGUCGCAG
RNAcentral lists this ribosomal RNA (519 nucleotides) under uncultured bacterium. Its description in RNAcentral is "bacterial SSU rRNA". It matches the Rfam family "Bacterial small subunit ribosomal RNA", at positions 355 to 891 of the family's 1533-position model. The record is from RNAcentral.